GGAUGAACGCUGGCGGCGUGCCUAAUCCAUGCAAGUCGAGCGAACAGAUGAGGAGCUUGCUCCUCUGACGUUAGCGGCGGCCGGGUGAGUAACACGUGGAUAACCUACCUAUAAGACUGGGAUAACUUCGGGAAACCGGAGCUAAUACCGGAAAAUAUAUUGACCCGCAUGGUUCAAUAUUGAAAGCCGGUUUUGCUGUCCCUUAUAGUUGGAUCCGCGCCGCAUUAGCUAGUUGGUAAGGUAACGGCUUACCAAGGCAACGAUGCGUAGCCGACCUGAGAGGGUGAUCGGCCACACUGGAACUGAGACACGGUCCAGACUCCUACGGGAGGCAGCAGUAGGGAAUCUUCCGCAAUGGGCGAAAGCCUGACGGAGCAACGCCGCGUGAGUGAUGAAGGUCUUCGGAUCGUAAAACUCUGUUAUUAGGGAAGAACAAAUGUGUAAGUAACUAUGCACGUCUUGACGGUACCUAAUCAGAAAGCCACGGCUAACUACGUG
Molecule: ribosomal RNA, 498 nt
Filed under: uncultured bacterium
Lineage: Bacteria
Description: partial 16S ribosomal RNA
Rfam family: Bacterial small subunit ribosomal RNA
Source: RNAcentral